ACGCUGGCGGCGUGCCUAAUACAUGCAAGUAGAACGCUGAAGAGAGGAGCUUGCUCUUCUUGGAUGAGUUGCGAACGGGUGAGUAACGCGUAGGUAACCUGCCUUGUAGCGGGGGAUAACUAUUGGAAACGAUAGCUAAUACCGCAUAACAAUGGAUGACACAUGUCAUUUAUUUGAAAGGGGCAAUUGUUCCACUACAAGAUGGACCUGCGUUGUAUUAGCUAGUAGGUGAGGUAAUGGCUCACCUAGGCGACGAUACAUAGCCGACCUGAGAGGGUGAUCGGCCACACUGGGACUGAGACACGGCCCAGACUCCUACGGGAGGCAGCAGUAGGGAAUCUUCGGCAAUGGGGGCAACCCUGACCGAGCAACGCCGCGUGAGUGAAGAAGGUUUUCGGAUCGUAAAGCUCUGUUGUAAGUCAAGAACGGGUGUGAGAGUGGAAAGUUCACACUGUGACGGUAGCUUACCAGAAAGGGACGGCUAACUACGUGCCAGCAGCCGCGGUAAUACGUAGGUCCCGAGCGUUGUCCGGAUUUAUUGGGCGUAAAGCGAGCGCAGGCGGUUUGAUAAGUCUGAAGUUAAAGGCUGUGGCUCAACCAUAGUUCGCUUUGGAAACUGUCAAACUUGAGUGCAGAAGGGGAGAGUGGAAUUCCAUGUGUAGCGGUGAAAUGCGUAGAUAUAUGGAGGAACACCGGUGGCGAAAGCGGCUCUCUGGUCUGUAACUGACGCUGAGGCUCGAAAGCGUGGGGAGCGAACAGGAUUAGAUACCCUGGUAGUCCACGCCGUAAACGAUGAGUGCUAGGUGUUGGAUCCUUUCCGGGAUUCAGUGCCGCAGCUAACGCAUUAAGCACUCCGCCUGGGGAGUACGACCGCAAGGUUGAAACUCAAAGGAAUUGACGGGGGCCCGCACAAGCGGUGGAGCAUGUGGUUUAAUUCGAAGCAACGCGAAGAACCUUACCAGGUCUUGACAUCCCGAUGCUAUUUCUAGAGAUAGAAAGUUACUUCGGUACAUCGGUGACAGGUGGUGCAUGGUUGUCGUCAGCUCGUGUCGUGAGAUGUUGGGUUAAGUCCCGCAACGAGCGCAACCCCUAUUGUUAGUUGCCAUCAUUCAGUUGGGCACUCUAGCGAGACUGCCGGUAAUAAACCGGAGGAAGGUGGGGAUGACGUCAAAUCAUCAUGCCCCUUAUGACCUGGGCUACACACGUGCUACAAUGGUUGGUACAACGAGUUGCGAGUCGGUGACGGCGAGCUAAUCUCUUAAAGCCAAUCUCAGUUCGGAUUGUAGGCUGCAACUCGCCUACAUGAAGUCGGAAUCGCUAGUAAUCGCGGAUCAGCACGCCGCGGUGAAUACGUUCCCGGGCCUUGUACACACCGCCCGUCACACCACGAGAGUUUGUAACACCCGAAGUCGGUGAGGUAACCUUUUGGAGCCAGCCGCCUAAGGUGGGACAGAUGAUU
Molecule: ribosomal RNA, 1459 nt
Filed under: Streptococcus thermophilus
Lineage: Bacteria; Bacillati; Bacillota; Bacilli; Lactobacillales; Streptococcaceae
Description: bacterial SSU rRNA
Rfam family: Bacterial small subunit ribosomal RNA
Source: RNAcentral